Molecule: ribosomal RNA, 639 nt
Filed under: Alcaligenes sp. KTMA2
Lineage: Bacteria; Pseudomonadati; Pseudomonadota; Betaproteobacteria; Burkholderiales; Alcaligenaceae
Description: bacterial SSU rRNA
Rfam family: Bacterial small subunit ribosomal RNA
Source: RNAcentral
AGCAGCUGCUGCUUUACCAUGCAAGUCGAACGGCAGCGCGAGAGAGCUUGCUCUCUUGGCGGCGAGUGGCGGACGGGUGAGUAAUAUAUCGGAACGUGCCCAGUAGCGGGGGAUAACUACUCGAAAGAGUGGCUAAUACCGCAUACGCCCUACGGGGGAAAGGGGGGGAUCGCAAGACCUCUCACUAUUGGAGCGGCCGAUAUCGGAUUAGCUAGUUGGUGGGGUAAAGGCUCACCAAGGCAACGAUCCGUAGCUGGUUUGAGAGGACGACCAGCCACACUGGGACUGAGACACGGCCCAGACUCCUACGGGAGGCAGCAGUGGGGAAUUUUGGACAAUGGGGGAAACCCUGAUCCAGCCAUCCCGCGUGUAUGAUGAAGGCCUUCGGGUUGUAAAGUACUUUUGGCAGAGAAGAAAAGGUAUCCCCUAAUACGGGAUACUGCUGACGGUAUCUGCAGAAUAAGCACCGGCUAACUACGUGCCAGCAGCCGCGGUAAUACGUAGGGUGCAAGCGUUAAUCGGAAUUACUGGGCGUAAAGCGUGUGUAGGCGGUUCGGAAAGAAAGAUGUGAAAUCAAACGGCUCACCCCUUGGAACUGCAUUUUUUAACUGCCUAGCAACAGUAUGUCCGAGGGGGGGA